This 133-nucleotide non-coding RNA is filed under the name Pteridomonas danica. The record is from RNAcentral. Lineage: Eukaryota; Dictyochophyceae; Pedinellales.
UCCGAACUCUAACGAGAUCAUUGACGAUAGUUGGGGUGACAUUAGUUCCUUUCUCGUUCUCUCUGAAGUCAGCAACGAUCUUCGAAUAGGAGCCAUCUUCUCAGACGACGACGAUGAAGAAGAAGAUGAGGAA